ACGCUGGCGGCGUGCCUAAUACAUGCAAGUCGAACGCACAGCGAAAGGUGCUUGCACCUUUCAAGUGAGUGGCGAACGGGUGAGUAACACGUGGACAACCUGCCUCAAGGCUGGGGAUAACAUUUGGAAACAGAUGCUAAUACCGAAUAAAACUUAGUGUCGCAUGACACAAAGUUAAAGGCGCUUCGGCGUCACCUAGAGAUGGAUCCGCGGUGCAUUAGUUAGUUGGUGGGGUAAAGGCCUACCAAGACAAUGAUGCAUAGCCGAGUUGAGAGACUGAUCGGCCACAUUGGGACUGAGACACGGCCCAAACUCCUACGGGAGGCUGCAGUAGGGAAUCUUCCACAAUGGGCGAAAGCCUGAUGGAGCAACGCCGCGUGUGUGAUGAAGGCUUUCGGGUCGUAAAGCACUGUUGUAUGGGAAGAACAGCUAGAAUAGGAAAUGAUUUUAGUUUGACGGUACCAUACCAGAAAGGGACGGCUAAAUACGUGCCAGCAGCCGCGGUAAUACGUAUGUCCCGAGCGUUAUCCGGAUUUAUUGGGCGUAAAGCGAGCGCAGACGGUUUAUUAAGUCUGAUGUGAAAGCCCGGAGCUCAACUCCGGAAUGGCAUUGGAAACUGGUUAACUUGAGUGCAGUAGAGGUAAGUGGAACUCCAUGUGUAGCGGUGGAAUGCGUAGAUAUAUGGAAGAACACCAGUGGCGAAGGCGGCUUACUGGACUGCAACUGACGUUGAGGCUCGAAAGUGUGGGUAGCAAAC
RNAcentral lists this ribosomal RNA (757 nucleotides) under uncultured bacterium. RNAcentral describes it as "bacterial SSU rRNA". It matches the Rfam family "Bacterial small subunit ribosomal RNA", at positions 33 to 773 of the family's 1533-position model. The record is from RNAcentral.